RNAcentral lists this ribosomal RNA (468 nucleotides) under uncultured bacterium. RNAcentral describes it as "partial 16S ribosomal RNA". It matches the Rfam family "Bacterial small subunit ribosomal RNA", at positions 28 to 507 of the family's 1533-position model. The record is from RNAcentral.
GACGAACGCUGGCGGCGUGCUUAACACAUGCAAGUCGAACGGAAAGGCCCUGCUUUUGUUUGGUGCUCGAGUGGCGAACGGGUGAGUAACACGCGAGUAACCUGCCCCUGACUUUGGGAUAACUUCAGGAAACUGGGGCUAAUACCGGAUAGGAACUUUUGCUGCAUGGUGGGGGUUGGAAAGUUUCGGCGGUUGGGGAUGGUCUCGCGGCUUAUCAGCUUGUUGGUGGGGUAGUGGCUUACCAAGGCUUUGACGGGUAGCCGGCCUGAGAGGGUGACCGGCCACAUUGGGACUGAGAUACGGCCCAGACUCCUACGGGAGGCAGCAGUGGGGAAUAUUGCACAAUGGGCGGAAGCCUGAUGCAGCAACGCCGCGUGCGGGAUGACGGCCUUCGGGUUGUAAACCGCUUUCGCCUGUGACGAAGCGUGAGUGACGGUAAUGGGUAAAGAAGCACCGGCUAACUACGUG